CCUACGGGAGGCAGCAGUAGGGAAUAUUGGACAAUGGGUGCGAGCCUGAUCCAGCCAUGCCGCGUGCAGGAAGAAGGCCUUCUGGGUUGUAAACUGCUUUUGCCGGGGGAUAAAAGACCCAUGCGUGGGGAAUUGAAGGUACCCGGUGAAUAAGCCACGGCUAACUACGUGCCAGCAGCCGCGGUAAUACGUAGGUGGCGAGCGUUGUCCGGAUUUAUUGGGUUUAAAGGGUGCGUAGGCGGCCCCGUAAGUCAGUGGUGAAAUACGGCAGCUCAACUGUCGAGGUGCCAUUGAUACUGCGGGGCUUGAGUACAGUCGAGGUAGGCGGAAUUGACGGUGUAGCGGUGAAAUGCUUAGGUAUCGUCAAGAACACCGAUAGCGAAGGCAGCUUGCUAGGCUGUAACUGACGCUGAGGCACGAAAGUGCGGGGAUCAAACAGGAUUAGAUACCCUGGUAGUCCGCACAGUAAACGAUGGUCACUCGGUGUUGGCGGUACACGGCCAGCGCCUUAGCGAAAGCGUUAAGUGACCCACCGCGGGAGUACGCCGCGAGGUAGAACGACGAAGAAGUAGACGGCGNGAGACGUGCCGACGGACGACGACGAGGGAGGUUAGG
Molecule: ribosomal RNA, 615 nt
Filed under: uncultured bacterium
Lineage: Bacteria
Description: bacterial SSU rRNA
Rfam family: Bacterial small subunit ribosomal RNA (bases 1-534)
Source: RNAcentral